RNAcentral lists this ribosomal RNA (319 nucleotides) under uncultured bacterium. Its description in RNAcentral is "bacterial SSU rRNA". It matches the Rfam family "Bacterial small subunit ribosomal RNA", at positions 154 to 507 of the family's 1533-position model. The record is from RNAcentral.
AAAUGACUGCUAAUACCGGAUGAUGUCUUCGGACCAAAGAUUUAUCGGCAAAGGAUGAGCCCGCGUAGGAUUAGGUAGUUGGUGGGGUAAAGGCCUACCAAGCCGACGAUCCUUAGCUGGUCUGAGAGGAUGAUCAGCCACACUGGGACUGAGACACGGCCCAGACUCCUACGGGAGGCAGCAGAGGGGAAUAUUGGACAAUGGGCGAAAGCCUGAUCCAGCAAUGCCGCGUGAGUGAUGAAGGCCUUCGGGUCGUAAAGCUCUUUUACCAGGGAUGAUAAUGACAGUACCUGGAGAAUAAGCUCCGGCUAACUCCGUG